UAAUCAGUGAAUUCCCCUCAGCUGGCAUCUCUCACUGCCCCUCUUUGCGUGAUGUAAGAUCAGACGUACCCUGCAUUGAAAAGUCAAGACACACGAGCGGCUCGCUCGCGCUCACACGCACUCUCUCUCCCACACGCGCGCAUCCGUACACCUUCCACAUCCUGCUCCAGGCAGGAGAAGGCGAACUGGCUGGGCUCAUUGAGCUGAAGAAUUUCCAGUGACAUUUGUAAAUGACGCUGGUCGGUUCCGGGCUCGGAGCCGCCGCCGCCGCCGCCGGGCCGAGGGUGCAGCCGAGCAGUCUCCGGCGCAGGCUUCCUCCCGGGGUGACCACGAUGUCCGAGUUUCUCCUCGCCUUACUCACUCUCUCGGGAUUAUUGCCUGUCACCAAGGUGCUGACCGCGGGAGCCGACCGAGUGACGUCACAUGAACAUGCUCCAAAGCUGCGUAAAGAGAUGUAUAUUUUAGGUAAGUUCUUUAUUCCCAGAAAUGUUGCAUGUCAUUUUCACAGCCUGAUAAUUCUCAUUUUGGCCUUUACAAAUGCACUUGAAGAGUGCCAUUAUAAAUAUUAAAAGAAAAAAUAUUACAGAGACCCUCUAAAGACUCCUCUUCGGGGAUUUCUAAGCCCCUUUGAUCAGCAUUCGUGUGAUGAAGUCCAACAAAAAUUCCUGCUACUGAAUAUUCUCUUGUUCUGCUUUAAAGAAUAAGAAGCUAUUUAAAAACUAGUUUUGUACAGUUUUCCAGAACUCUUUCUCAUCUUUCUUUGAUUUGGAACUGUGCUCUUCUGUGAUUUUAAUGCACACUCGAAUGCCCCAUAAAGCAUAAGAUGGAUGAAUUAAAGCAGUAGUGUGAAAGUAGAUUCCACUUAAAGGCACUUCUCUUAUGCUGCUUUUCCUCAAAGCACCCUUAGUAAGUAAUGUUAAGAUUCAAGUGUUCCAAAUUCAUGGGUGUUUCUACUGGCAUACAGAUAUUCUGUCUAAAUAGGUAAGUCUAGCUUUCCCUUUGAGGAUGCUGUUGGUGUGAAUAGUUACUUUCCUUAAUAAAACAUGAUUUAUCAUUAUUUUUAAAAUGUAUCUAGGUAUAAAAGUAAAUUUGCCUCAUUUGCAACAUAUUGUGGUUCAGCUCUUCCACAAAAUUAAAUUGUUUAUGCUAUUUUAAUUCAUCAAGUGAGUGAAUAUAUAUCUUCCUAUUAAGAAAAUGGUUUGUCAGAUGUCAUAAAACAUUUUUUAACAGUAAAGGUCACAUUUUAUUGCAAAAAUCUGUCAGUGCUUUAUGUCCAAGCUGUGAAAUGUUAUUGCUUCAGGGUGAUUAUGUGGGAGGGGGCUGUGGUUAAGAAUGCCUUUCUGUGGCCAGCUAUGAUUUACAACAGCGAAUGGAGAAUUAAACCCUUAAUUGAAGCCUACAGAGCAAGUACCUAGAGGCUAGAUUCAGCCUGAAAUUUGAUUCAGACAAUUUUCUUAGUCAAGCCCCUAUGGGCUUCCCAGUUGAUUCUCAUGAGUUUUGAUUGUGAUUGAAAAGACAAGCUGUUUUCUGCUUUGCCCUGAACUUCCCUAAGGUAAAUCCCCAGUUUUAGUAAGCUUCUUGAUUAACCUGAAGGGAGGCAUUAUGGGAGAGAAUGUGCACACAGGAUUUUAACUAUUUCCUCAAGCCCCAAGUGAAAAUACCUCAACAUUUCAUAUAUUCUCUGAUGGAAACCCUCAUUUAGUAAACUGGUAAAUCUACCAGUCCUGAAGUUCAGGUGGAACUAUAACUGUGGCUGCGGGUACCUGCCCCUGUGCCUCUCUGACAGAGGGGGUGCGAGUCAUGUGUUGCAGGGACCUUACAUUUGUUUCGGCACAUCAGGUAUCACCAGUGGGUUUCUGACUUAGAUGUAACAUAAAUGUCAGUCCAGAGGUCACAUGACCUUGAAUAAAUCUUUCCAUCCCUUUCUAUCCAUAAGCAAUACCCUAGUUUGCUCCAUUUUAUUUUCUAAUUAUUGUUUCUUUGGUAUGACUUGCAGGUUAUUAAAUUACUUACUCUAUUAAAAAGAUAGGUUGAAUUCUGAUUUUGUCUUACAUACUCCUUGUUUCCUGAUUACUAUGCUUAAAAUAUCCUAUGAGUUUUGCCUGUAUUUAUUAAAGCCUAACUUAUUACCUAUGCUUAAUACUUAUGAUUAUCAACCACCCUUUUGUUUUCUUGUCCUCUAUAGUAGAACUGAAUAUUUUCAAAUAAAGCAGCAAAUUCACGAUAAGUAUUGAAUGCCUAAGAUAUGCAAGGCAAUGUGCUGGAUGUUAAGGAAGAAAGAAGGAUAAAUAUAAUCCCUAAUUAAGUUGACAGAAUAGUGGGAGAGCUAGGUUAUUUAAUUAAAGUUGUAAUGCCAGGUAGGUUAAAAUUUCUGCAGAAUUGUCACAGAACUCAGGCCUAGCUGCUUGUUGCUCUAAAAAAAAAAAAAAAAAAAUCAAUAGUCAAGAGGCAAGUGUUGGUGGAAAUGGAAAAUGUAGUUUUUAAUCAGAAAGUUGGCAGUCUGAGGAGAUGGUGGACUUCAAUGUCCCCCAAAACCAACUACAAAGAUUCUGCUGGGCCAUGAAAGCUUUGAAAGGGAAAAGAGGGAGCAAUCUCAGUUAAUCAUUGAGAUAAGGGCUCAGAGUCAUCACUUUCUCCCACUCUGUGCAGGCUUGUCGACUUCCUGUGUUCUUUAUUUAGAUGCUAUCUUGUUCAGACAGAUUUUUCCAUGAGAUUACUAAAAGGGAAACUAGGGAAUGGAUUUGGUCAUCUAUUCAUUACUUAUUCUUCAUUUCUACUUCUUUGAUCUAUGGAAAGAACCAACAACACUAGGCAAGGUAUCGUAUGAUCUAAAGCUUUAAAAGGUAUGCUAGGGUAGAGAUGAAUUAAGCACGGGGACCCCUGAUUUAAAAGUCAGUUACACUGUAGCUUUGCUAAAUUGACAAAACUAAAAGGGUUUCCCACAGAGGGCAGUGUCCUGUAAAGAGCUACUUACAGAAUGGGCACUGACAUGACAAGAAUUGUGAUUUAGGAAAAUGAAUCUGGAAGUGGUGUGUAUGGGUCAUGGGAGGAAAGGUAAAUGAUUAAGAUCAUUUUAGUGAUCUGGGAAAAGUGAUAAUGUUAUCGCAAACUACUGAAAUGGUUAUGUGAUAAGAGAGAAUUAACAGUAUGUGACAACCUACUGAAUAUAGGUAGUUCAGGAGCAGGGAAAAGGGCACUAAGAUAAUCUUGAGCCUUUGAACCUGGGUUAACUGGCGGAGGUGCAUUAAACACAUAAAAAUAGGAACAUGGGGUAGAGCUAGCUGAGGAAAAGAGGGUUUUGUAGAUGGAACUAUAUUGAAUGUGAUAUUCCAGGAGGGCAUCUACACUGAAAUGUAAGCCAGGCAGGAAAUACUGAAUAGAUGGUAUGACUAGAAAUAAAAUUGGAGAAUCAUCUAAAUAGAAGAGAAUACUCAGCUAAGGGAUUUGUUCCUGAUCCUUAAGUGAAAGGAUAUACAGGUAAGAGAGAGCAAAUAAUGGAACUUUGAGAAUUGGCAACACCUUGGGCAUGGGAAAAGAGGGAAAUAGAGAGGAAGAAGCAAGAGGAAACACGAUUAUCAGAGGUAGAAGGAAAACCUGAAAUGAGGAUAUGGGCAAGAGCCUGUUGGGAAAAGCAGGAGAAUUAGAUGAUUUAAAAAAGGCUAAUUAGACUUAGCCAAAAAGGUAUACUGAUUGUUUCUGGGAGAGAUAUUUCAAUACAUUGUAUUUUUGAGGUAUUUAUGACUGAGAGGUGAUAAACUAGAAGCAGAGAGGAUAAGUUUUCCUGAUUGAAAUUUUGCUAGUAAGGGAGCAACCCAAUAGCAAGAAUGAAGAAAGAGUUUGUUCCACUGGUUUUUUGACAGAAGAGCUUCAGGCAUGGAUUUUUCCAGGAAAGAUGAAGAGAUAGAAGAUGUAAAAGAGGAAAGACAUAACUGAUAAAACCUGGCUAUAGGAAGCAAGAAAGAUGGGAGUCAAGAAAGUAGAAAGUGAAGGGUUUUUCUUCCAUGAUUCUGACAGACAAUACAAUUUUGCAAGACCAGCAAAAGGCCUUCCAUCAUUUCUUAUCUUUCCCAUAUACGAGUAGUUCUGAUUCUUGUCAGCCAAAUUUAUAGAGAUCUGAUCUGGAUAUUCAGAUAAUGCUUAUACCAUCAUCAUCCAAAAUUGCUUUAAAAUGUCCUCUCCUAUCUUUUAAAUAUACUAGUAAAUAGCUGAGGCCUUGGCUCUCUUUAAUGAACACACAAAGUAAUUCAUAUAAAAACAGAUUGAUGUGAUCAAAAAUGAAUAUGAAUAGGAAAGAGAAAGACACAAUCUCAAAUAAAGAAGUAGUUACUUUUCUUAUAGGCAAGUAAAUUUGGUGAUAGAACAUGAAGGAAAAUUAGAAAUUCUGUUGUUGGAGCAUCUCUUUUUUACAUAAUAAACAUGGACAAUUAAUGAUGUAAUUUAGUAUUUUAUUGAAGGACUCCCACUGCAUGUAAGGUGGUAUAAAAUAAGAUUUUUACAUAAAUUAUUUUGUUAAUUCAUGCCUCACAAUUGAUCUCUACAAUUUAUGACUUUUUGUCACUAAUAUACUUAGAUUUGCACUAGACACAUUUUACCUAAUCCUAACAAAGACAAGAUUACACUUAAUUUUCUAAGGACCCAGGCUGCUGCCUUUUAAUAUAUAAUAUUUUACAUAUGGGAGUAUCAUCCUACUAAUGCUUACUUUAUACAAACCACGAUAAAAUAUAUUAGUCUAAUGAUAGUGACAGCAAAUUAAUUACAAGUGGUGCUGGGAUUGUACAUGCCUCUCAUUUUUAGAUGACUUCCUAGGGAAAUAAUGAUAUUUUAUGACUGUGACUGAGGUUGUACUUAUUAGUACUGCCAAAUAUUCUUUUAUAGAAUUUUCACAGACAAAAUAACAGCAAGUAACUUUACCCAGGUUUUCUUCUUGAAAGAUGAAGCUUAAGACAGAGAUUUUGUUUUGUUUUUAAAGAUUUAUUUUGACUACAAUUAUUUUGACAUACAUGUCAGACUUGCACUCAGAUCUCUUCAAUACAUAUUGUUUUAAUACCUACCUUCUAGAUGAGACCUUCUGUAGGUCUGGAAUGGAAAAAUCAAGAUAACAGACUAGUGGUCUCUGCCCUCACAGGAUCAUAUAGUCCAGUGUGGUUGAUUACAAAAGAGAAUAAGAAGCACAAUCGUUUAAUUCCUGAAGGCUUGGGCGCAUUUGUUAGGCUUCUGGAUUGAGCAUUUGGGUAGAGAAAAUAAAUUUUAAGGGAGCAUAGCACAUUAAAUAAUCUGAGUAUAAGUUGAGGAAUAGGCAUAUGUGAAACGGUGAGCCCACUGUGGACUUUACGCUAAGGGAAGUAAAGAAUCACUGAAGAAUUAUAAGCAAAGUAGUGACAUGAGUAAAAUUGUACUGUGCAAAGAUCUGAUCAGUGGAGAGAAUAAAGUAAAUGAAGUGAAUCUAGAGUCAGGAAUAUUUAUUAGGCAACAACUGAAUCAAUGCAGGCAGUGCAUGAUGGUAGUCUGAAGUAGUGCUGCUCUGUGCAGUGAGAGAAUAGAUUGAAAGGAUACUUAUGAGAUAGAGUCUACAGUUCCUGGUGCUUCCUGGGGGAUGAGGAAGGGAGAGGAAAAAAUCAAGGUUCUUAGGUGUUGGGUUUGGAUGGUUGAGUAGACUGAUGAUUUUCUUUGAACUUGGAAUCAUAGGAAGAAGAGUUUUAGGGCAGAAGAAAAUGAGACUCAUUGUUGGUGUAUUGGGUUUAGUGAUUUCUGCACCAUCCAUGUGGAUCUGCCUAGUGGGAUAUCUGUCCUGUGGGCCUGGGGUUACCUGGUGAUCACAGCACAGUGCAAGUGAUUGCCCUGAGAAUGUAUAGAGUGACAUGAAGCUUCAAACAGGACCUAUGUACUUUUUCUAUAAGGAGCCAAAUGGUAAAUAUUCUUAGGAAUUGUGGGCCAUACAGUUCAAAACUACUCAACUCUGUUCUUGUAGCAGUGAGGCAGCUAAAAGACAACAUGUAAGUGAGUGGGCAAGGUUGUUAUACCUUAAAGAUUAAUUAUGCAUACUGAAAUUUGAAUUAUCGAAUUAUCCCAUAUCACUGAAUCAUCACAUAUCACUAGUCUUCCUUUGAUUUUUAAAAAUUUCUUCAACCAUUUAAAACUAUACAAGUUCAUUCUUAGUUUAUGGGUCAUACCAAAACCAAAAACCAAAAACCAAAAAAAAAAAAAA
RNAcentral lists this long non-coding RNA (6205 nucleotides) under Sus scrofa (pig). RNAcentral describes it as "lncRNA (ENSSSCG00035068794.1)". The record is from RNAcentral. Lineage: Eukaryota; Metazoa; Chordata; Mammalia; Artiodactyla; Suidae.